UUAAGUGAAUAAGGGCGUACGGUGGAUGCCUAGGCACUUGGAACUGAAGAAGGACGCAACAAACGGCGAAACGCGACGGGGAGUGGUACGUACACAAAGAUCCGUCGAUAUCCGAAUGGGGAAACCCGGCAGCAGUAAUGAGCUGUCACCCAUGAGUGAAUACAUAGCUCAUGAGGGAGGUACCCGGAGAACUGAAACAUCUAAGUAUCCGGAGGAAAAGAAAAUAAGAAUGAUUCCGUAAGUAGCGGCGAGCGAACGCGGAGGAGCCCAAACCAGAUCUUGAUCUGGGGUUGUAGGACCACGAAAUGGCAAGAGCAUGGCUAAGAGAACGGCAUUGAAAGGCCGACCGGAGAGGGUGCAAGUCCCGUAACUGAAAGUCUAGCGAAGCCUAGUGGUAUCCUGAGUACGGCGAGACACGAGAAAUCUUGUCGGAAGCAGGCGGGACCAUCCGUCAAGGCUAAAUAUACCCAAGUGACCGAUAGUGAACCAGUACCGUGAGGGAAAGGUGAAAAGAACCGCGGGAGCGGAGUGAAAUAGAACCUGAAACCGUAUGCUUACAAGAAGUCAGAGCCCGUUAAAGGGUGAUGGCGUGCCUUUUGUAGAAUGAACCGGCGAGUUACGUUAUCGUGCGAGGUUAAGUAGAAGAUACGGAGCCGAAGCGAAAGCGAGUCUUAAUAGGGCGACAGUACGAUGAUGUAGACCCGAAACCGUGUGAUCUAGCCAUGACCAGGUUGAAGUUCAGGUGAAACUGAAUGGAGGACCGAACCGACCCCCGUUGAAAAGUUGGCGGAUGAGUUGUGGCUAGGGGAGAAAUUCCAAUCGAACACGGAUAUAGCUGGUUCUCCCCGAAAUAGCUUUAGGGCUAGCGUCGAGGCAGAGUCGCAUGGAGGUAGAGCACUGAAUGUACGAUGGCCCCAUCCCGGGGUACUGAGUAUAAUCAAACUCCGAAUGCCAUGAAGACGUACUCGGCAGUCAGACUGUGGGUGAUAAGGUCCAUGGUCAAAAGGGAAACAGCCCAGACCGCCAGUUAAGGUCCCAAAAUGUAUGCUAAGUGGAAAAGGAUGUGGGGAUGCACAGACAACUAGGAGGUUGGCUCAGAAGCAGCCAUCCUUCAAAGAGUGCGUAACAGCUCACUAGUCGAGUGACCCUGCGCCGAAAAUGUACCGGGGCUAAGCAUACUACCGAAGCUGCGGAUUCAACUUUAGAGUUGAGUGGUAGGGGAGCGUUGCAUGCACGUAGAAGCCGUACCGUAAGGAGCGGUGGAGAGCAUGGAAGAGAGAAUGCCGGUGUGAGUAGCGAGAUGUAGGUGAGAAUCCUACACACCGAUAGCCCAAGGAUUCCAGGGGAAGGUUCGUCCGCCCUGGGUAAGUCGGGACCUAACGCGAGGCCGAAAGGCGUAGUGGAUGGAAAACAGGCAGAUAUUCCUGUACCCGCGAUGGAAAUGAAGGAAUGACGGAGAAGGCUAGUGUGAGCCACUGAACGGAUUGUGGUCAAAGCAUAUAGCAGGCUGACAGUGAAAUGCGUCAGCGGGAUGUAAGAUGUGACAGGUAAGGGAACGUCCUUGGACAAGUACUGAAGCACAUGAUGCCAGCUUCCAAGAAAAGUUUCUAGUGAUAAUUCCAUAGCGGCCCGUACCAAAACCGACACAGGUGGGCAAGGAGAGAAUCCUGAGGUGAGCGAGAGAACUGUUGCCAAGGAACUCGGCAAAAUGACUCCGUAAGUUAGCGAUAAGGAGUGCUCUUGUAAAAGAGAGCCGCAGUGAAGAGGCCCAAGCGACUGUUUAACUAAAACACAGCUCUCUGCAAAGUCGCAAGACGAAGUAUAGGGGGUGACGCCUGCCCGGUGCUGGAAGGUUAAGAGGAUUUGUCAUCCGCAAGGAGAAGCAAUGAAUUGAAGCCCCAGUGAACGGCGGCCGUAACUAUAACGGUCCUAAGGUAGCGAAAUUCCUUGUCAGGUAAG
RNAcentral lists this ribosomal RNA (1959 nucleotides) under human gut metagenome. RNAcentral's name for it is "bacterial LSU rRNA". It matches the Rfam family "Bacterial large subunit ribosomal RNA", at positions 1 to 1980 of the family's 2925-position model. The record is from RNAcentral.